CCCCUACCUGGCGCGCCAAUCUGUUGCGGCCAAUUCCCUCGUCGCUUGAUCGUCGGGAACGAGCGCCUGCAAAAGAAGUCCGCACUGAUCGGAGGUGACUCCGGCGGGGACCCUCCGACGGUCAAGUCAGAGAGGAGACUAGGCAACAGUAGAAAAGAAUCAAAGAGCUCAAGAGGAGAGGGUGAGAGCGAGAGCUAGAGAGGAGGAAGGAUUUCAGGGUUUCGAAAAGACCUCCCAGCACUGUUGCCUUCCCCGAUAUAUAUAGUGGAGCGCGAC
Molecule: long non-coding RNA, 276 nt
Filed under: Elaeis guineensis (African oil palm)
Lineage: Eukaryota; Viridiplantae; Streptophyta; Magnoliopsida; Arecales; Arecaceae
Description: long non-coding RNA (EGUI_LNC029299)
Source: RNAcentral